This 460-nucleotide ribosomal RNA is filed under the name uncultured Desulfobulbus sp. RNAcentral describes it as "bacterial SSU rRNA". It matches the Rfam family "Bacterial small subunit ribosomal RNA", at positions 920 to 1382 of the family's 1533-position model. The record is from RNAcentral. Lineage: Bacteria; Pseudomonadati; Thermodesulfobacteriota; Desulfobulbia; Desulfobulbales; Desulfobulbaceae.
CCCGCACAAGCGGUGGAGCAUGUGGUUUAAUUCGAUGAUACGCGAGGAACCUUACCUGGGCUCAAAUGUAUGUUUGACGUAUUCUGAAAGGGAUACUUCUUCGGACAAUAUACAAGGUGCUGCAUGGUUGUCGUCAGCUCGUGCCGUGAGGUGUCGGGUUAAGUCCCAUAACGAGCGCAACCCCUACCUUUAGUUGCCAGCAGUUCGGCUGGGCACUCUAAAGGGACUGCCGGUGUUAAACCGGAGGAAGGUGGGGAUGACGUCAAGUCCUCAUGGCCUUUAUGACCAGGGCUACACACGUACUACAAUGGCCGAUACAAAGGGCAGCGACACUGCGAGGUGAAGCCAAUCCCGUAAAAUCGGUCUCAGUCCGGAUUGGAGUCUGCAACUCGACUCCAUGAAGUUGGAAUCGCUAGUAAUCGUGGAUCAGCAUGCCACGGUGAAUACGUUCCCGGGCCUU